AUGAAAUGGGAAAAGUCGCAGGUAUACUUUGACCGUUCCCGGCUGUUCGGCAACGCCGUGCUCGACGGCAUCGACUUCGAUAUCGAGCUCGGGAGCCACGCCUACUACGAUGACCUCACCAGGUACCUCAAUGCCUACGACAGCAGGAAGGGCGAGAAGAAGGUGUUCAUCAUGGUAGCGCCGUUGUGGCCGUUCCCGGACAGGAUGCUGGGGGAGGCGCUCCGGACGGGGCUCUUUGACCGCGUUCACGUCCAGUUCUACAACAACCCUACCUGCAGCAACAGUGCGGGCAACGUGGCAGCCUUCAAGAAGGCGUACGACACUGCCCAAGAGCUCCGUCUACCUCGGGCUACCGGCUGCGCGAGCGGCGUCGAACAAGGGAAGCGGCUACGUGGAACCUGGGAAGCUGGUGUCCAAGGUGCUGCCCAUCGUGCAGCGCUCCAACAACGGAGGGAUCAUGUUGUGGAACAAUUACUUUGA
RNAcentral lists this ribosomal RNA (480 nucleotides) under Triticum aestivum (bread wheat). RNAcentral's name for it is "partial small subunit ribosomal RNA". The record is from RNAcentral. Lineage: Eukaryota; Viridiplantae; Streptophyta; Magnoliopsida; Poales; Poaceae.